This 329-nucleotide unclassified non-coding RNA is filed under the name soil metagenome. RNAcentral's name for it is "partial contains 5.8S ribosomal RNA, internal transcribed spacer 2, and large subunit ribosomal RNA". The stretch from base 1 to 120 matches the Rfam family "5.8S ribosomal RNA", at positions 35 to 154 of the family's 154-position model. The record is from RNAcentral.
GAUGAAGAACGUAGCGAAAUGCGAUAAGUAAUGUGAAUUGCAGAAUUCAGUGAAUCAUCGAAUCUUUGAACGCACAUUGCGCCCCCUGGUAUUCCGGGGGGCAUGCCUGUUCGAGCGUCAUUACAACCCUCAAGCUCUGCUUGGAAUUGGGCCCCGCCAGUUCUGGCGGGCCCUAAAGUCAGUGGCGGUGCCUUCCGGCUCCGAGCGUAGUAAUUCUUCUCGCUCUGGAGACCCGGUUGUGUGCUUGCCAACAACCCCCAAUUUUUUAAGGUUGACCUCGGAUCAGGUAGGGAUACCCGCUGAACUUAAGCAUAUCAAUAAGCGGAGGA